GCCGCUGCCGCCACCCGGGUUCGCUGUGCGUGCGCGCUGUGCUGCGCUCUGGCGAGGAGGGCGCCCCUUUCCGCUUUUAUGGCUCGGUGGCGGACCACGUUGAGAACAACAACAGCUUGGUCCGAAGCCAGCAACAACUUGUGCUUCUUGGAGCCCCUUUCCCGGCUGCUGGCUUCCCAGACCGCGACUCCCCGGCGCCGACACGCUCUUAGUCGUGCGCCCCAGACAGGGCCCAAGCCCGCGGGCCAGCGCAGAGGCGGCCUGCGCCCAGGAAAGGCUCCGCAGAAGGGAAUGGAGGGACGCACCCCAAGCUGCGGGAGCGUGAGAGGAGGGGGGCACCCCGUUUGGGGGCGAAUAGCGCGGGCCCGGGGGGAGGCCCCACCGCGCGGGUUUUGGCGGCAGGCAGCCGAAAGUGUCCCCUGGGUCCCCGAGCCUUUACCGGGCCCAGGGGGCCCCGGGCCUACCCACGGGAGCGGAUUUAAUUUGUCCCAACUAACACAGGGCACGCCCUCACGUGGUCGGCUGGGGCAACGUGAAGUGCUCCAGAACUACUUCGAGGGGCGUCUCCGCCUGAUCCAAAGAGGAGAGCGGCUGGGACGCCUUCCAGCCGUGCUUCUGGGGUCUUGUUAAGCCUCGGGGGCCUGGCGCAACCCCCUGAGGGGAAAGGAGGGGGCCGUAAGAUCCAAGGUGACCCGUCCAGUCCUGGGGCUCCAAACACCAUCCAUACGUUGAUGACUCCCAGCUUCUCUCUGCAACCCUGAUUUCUCUCUGCAAGAGACCCCCACAGCCCACCGUGACUGGCUGGUUCACGAGGAUGUCCGAGGUGCACCUCUCUUUCCAGGCAUGAUUGAAAAGCAGCUGUGAAUUUUCUCUUAUAAACACACUCGUCCCCUAGACUUUACAAACAGUUCUAAUCAGAAACAUGGGGGUUCCCUCCCUGUUUUUUUUUUUUUUUCACUCACCCUCUUAUCCAGUCCUCCGCUCCUGACAGGUAUACCCCCAAAUACACCCCAGAUCUCUCCCCCGGCUCCCACCCCCAAGCCGCCAUGUUUCCCACCUUCCCUCUAGCCUCUCUAGGCCUCUCUGCAAAGGAAAGAGAGUUUCUAAGCCUAGCAUCUGCUUGGGUGCUGCCUCUGCUUAAAGGCCUCCGAUGGCUUCUCAUCGGAUUUAGGAUAAAGUUUGCGGACUGACAGUGGCCUUUUUGUUCCUCACACGUGCCCAGAGGGCUCCAAGGCCUCAGGGCCUUUGCACUUGCUUUUGGGAAAAGUUCUGCCACCACUGCCAGCUCUCUCCCCACCCCACCCCACCCCACCCCAGCCACACUCAUUUUAUUCAGGUCACAAUCCAGAAAUCCCUAAUCCUAAUCCCUGGAAUUCCUACCACAUUGCCCUGCUUUAUUUUCUUCAUAGCACUUAUCAUUAUCUGGCCCUAUUUGUCUAUGCCCUUGUGCACCGUGAGCUCCGUAAGAACUGGGGCUAGCUGGGACUGCCUUGCUGUCUGCUGUAUUCAUUCAUUCCGAAGCCGGUUUGGGUUUGGCCUCAGCUCUCUCAUACACUCCAUGUACGAUCUACCUGCUCUCCCAAACAGCCCAGCCUUUAUCCAUGUGUAAAAAAAAAAAAAAAAAAAAAAAAAAAAAAAAAA
Long non-coding RNA from Choloepus didactylus (southern two-toed sloth), 1641 nucleotides. RefSeq lists it as uncharacterized. The record is from RefSeq and is a predicted model, not a curated record. The transcript is spliced from 2 exons. Lineage: Eukaryota; Metazoa; Chordata; Mammalia; Pilosa; Megalonychidae.